Molecule: ribosomal RNA, 429 nt
Filed under: Chloroflexota bacterium
Lineage: Bacteria; Bacillati; Chloroflexota
Description: Chloroflexi bacterium partial 16S ribosomal RNA
Rfam family: Bacterial small subunit ribosomal RNA
Source: RNAcentral
UAGGGAAUCUUCGGCAAUGGACGAAAGUCUGACCGAGCAACGCCGCGUGAGUGAAGAAGGUUUUCGGAUCGUAAAACUCUGUUGUUAGAGAAGAACAAGGACGUUAGUAACUGAACGUCCCCUGACGGUAUCUAACCAGAAAGCCACGGCUAACUACGUGCCAGCAGCCGCGGUAAUACGUAGGUGGCAAGCGUUGUCCGGAUUUAUUGGGCGUAAAGCGAGCGCAGGCGGUUUCUUAAGUCUGAUGUGAAAGCCCCCGGCUCAACCGGGGAGGGUCAUUGGAAACUGGGAGACUUGAGUGCAGAAGAGGAGAGUGGAAUUCCAUGUGUGGCGGUGAAAUGCGUAGAUAUAUGGAGGAACACCAGUGGCGAAGGCGGCUCUCUGGUCUGUAACUGACGCUGAGGAUCGAAAGCGUGGGGAGCAAACAGG